UCUAAAACAAAACAAAAAAAUUAGUUACUAGACUAUUUUAUUGUAUUGCUAGUUUUAAAAAGUGCUUAUUACCUGUCAUAUAAAAUGACGACAAACUUUUCGAUUACUGUAAACGCCUCGCUAGUACUUCCCUCAUAUGCUGCCAGAAACCCUUCUGUGGCAUUGGGAAAUGCGUUCCAUGCAUCUAUUACACUUUUUUUUCCUUUCCCGUUAAAAUAGGACACAGUAUCACAACCUGUGAAGGCAUGGAACAGGGGGAGGACUUUCGCUUUUUGUGGCCCUGUAAAAGAAAAUAAUAUGUUUUAUAUAGCCCGCCUAGCGUUAUAGUCUCAGUGCAUUCUAUUCUAUUCUAGCUAGUGGCUAGGGCGUAACGUAGAUAAAUACAAUUUAUAAUUAUUUUUUACCUAGAGUUUUUGCUAUUUCGUGACAAGGAAGGUACUGGUGGUGUUUACCAGUACCUACGUGUACCCACAGCUCUUCUAGCUCAGGUACUUGUAGCACACUUGCGACUGCCAGCACCACGACGUCGGUAUCAACAGUGCGUAUCAUUACCCGCGUAUAACCUUGACUUACUGCGUCAGCCAUGUGCACUAUGAUUCUUGUAUCAGCCUCUUCAUGGUUACAUGGAGCUAAUCUUUGCGUGUCGCGAGUGCUUUUUAGAAUAGAAUAGAAUGCACUGAGACUAUAACGCUAGGCGGGCUAUAUAAAACAUAUUAUUUUCUUUUACAGGGCCACAAAAAGCGAAAGUCCUCCCCCUGUUCCAUGCCUUCACAGGUUGUGAUACUGUGUCCUAUUUUAACGGGAAAGGAAAAAAAAGUGCAAUAGAUGCAUGGAACGCAUUUCCCAAUGCCACAGAAGGGUUUCUGGCAGCAUAUGAGGGGAGUACUAGCGAGGCGUUUACAGUAAUCGAAAAGUUUGUCGUCAUUUUAUAUGACAGAGCCAGUUCAUUUACAACCGUAAACGAAGCCCGAAAGCACCUAUUCUCGAAAAAAGACCGCCAAUUGGAGAAUAUACCUCCGACGAAAGCUGCUCUAUACCAGCAUUUCCUGCGGGCAGUGUUCCAAGCAGUCCAUGUAUGGGGUCAGAUGUCACCGAAUCAAAAUCUUCCCUGUCCAUCUAACUGGGGAUGGAGAAAAGUCAGUGAAAGCUGGCAACCUACAUGGACAGACUUGCCCGUAGCUGCAGAUGCAUGCCUGGAAAUGAUCCGGUGCAGAUGCAAAAAGAGGUGCGGCGGCUCGAGGUGCCGGUGCUUUCAGCGGCAACUUAAGUGCACGGAGCUUUGCGAUUGUGGGGGACAAUGUAAAUAAUAAACAUUUUUAAGUAAAAUUCUA
Molecule: long non-coding RNA, 1331 nt
Organism: Cydia pomonella (codling moth)
Lineage: Eukaryota; Metazoa; Arthropoda; Insecta; Lepidoptera; Tortricidae
Exons: 2
Source: RefSeq, a predicted model, not a curated record